GAUGAAGAACGCAGCGAAAUGCGAUAAGUAAUGUGGAUUGCAGAAUUCAGUGAAUCAUCGAAUCUUUGAACGCACCUUGCGCCUUUUGGUAUUCCGAAAGGCACACCUGUUUGAGCGUCAUGAAUACCUCAAUCUCCAUCUUUUCUUCGGAUUGAUGGGUGACUUGGAUGUUGAGCCCUGCUGGUAUGCUAUAUCAGCUGGCUUUAAACUUAUUAGCCGGCUCUGUACUGGAUCGGUUUGACUCGACGUGAUAAUAUUAUCGUUGAGGAUGCAUGUCUCAUGCAGCCGGAAAGUAUCAAAGCAGCUUCUAGCUUGCCUUUAGUGCACUUUUACAUUUUAGACCUCAGAUCAGGUGGGACUACCCGCUGAACUUAAGCAUAUCAAUAAGCGGAGGA
This 395-nucleotide unclassified non-coding RNA is filed under the name soil metagenome. RNAcentral describes it as "partial contains 5.8S ribosomal RNA, internal transcribed spacer 2, and large subunit ribosomal RNA". The stretch from base 1 to 120 matches the Rfam family "5.8S ribosomal RNA", at positions 35 to 154 of the family's 154-position model. The record is from RNAcentral.